GAUGAAGAACGCAGCGAAAUGCGAUAAGUAAUGUGAAUUGCAGAAUUCAGUGAAUCAUCGAAUCUUUGAACGCACAUUGCGCUCUCUGGUAUUCCGGGGGGCAUGCCUGUUCGAGCGUCAUUACAACCCUCAAGCUUUGCUUGGUAUUGGACAUUGCCAGUUUCUGGCAGGUCUUAAAAUCAGUGGCGGUGCCAUUUGGCUUCAAGCGUAGUAAUUCUUCUCGCUUUGGAGAUCCAGGUGGUUACUUGCCAAUAACCCCCAAUUUUUUCAGGUUGACCUCGGAUCAGGUAGGGAUACCCGCUGAACUUAAGCAUAUCAAUAAGCGGAGGA
Molecule: unclassified non-coding RNA, 330 nt
Filed under: soil metagenome
Description: partial contains 5.8S ribosomal RNA, internal transcribed spacer 2, and large subunit ribosomal RNA
Rfam family: 5.8S ribosomal RNA (bases 1-120)
Source: RNAcentral